GCCUCUCUUCAGCUGUAAAAGAAAAGGAAAACAUGCCACAGAGCAGGCUUUGGAGUGCUAGGAACAAAGCUGAUUUGGGAGCCAAGUGCACUGGGAUACUUGCUGUCUUACCACCCAGGCUCUGCAAGGACCAAGAUAACGGCAAAAAUGAGGCCAGCAGAGAUGACCAUCUUUACAGACUCCCACGGCACCCAGCAUGACCCAUUAAAAAUCAGCUCCAGACCGGGCGGAAGAAAAACCUACUGCCAAAAAGGGAAUAAAACUGUUUCCCACCCCCUGCUUGGCCGUGAAAAUGCUUCCAAAGAAGAGGC
Long non-coding RNA from Gallus gallus (chicken), 311 nucleotides. Lineage: Eukaryota; Metazoa; Chordata; Aves; Galliformes; Phasianidae. The record is from Ensembl.